Molecule: ribosomal RNA, 504 nt
Filed under: uncultured Sphingobacteriales bacterium
Lineage: Bacteria; Pseudomonadati; Bacteroidota; Sphingobacteriia; Sphingobacteriales
Description: bacterial SSU rRNA
Rfam family: Bacterial small subunit ribosomal RNA
Source: RNAcentral
CGCCUUGCCAGCCCGCUCAGAAACUCAAAGGAAUUGACGGGGGCCCGCACAAGCGGUGGAGCAUGUGGUUUAAUUCGAUGAUACGCGAGGAACCUUACCUGGGCUCAAAUGUAUGUUGACGUAUUCUGAAAGGGAUACUUCUUCGGACAAUAUACAAGGUGCUGCAUGGUUGUCGUCAGCUCGUGCCGUGAGGUGUCGGGUUAAGUCCCAUAACGAGCGCAACCCCUACCUUUAGUUGCCAUCAGGUUAAGCUGGGGACUCUAAAGGAACUGCCUACGCAAGUAGUGAGGAAGGUGGGGACGACGUCAAGUCAUCAUGGCCCUUAUGUCCAGGGCGACACACGUGCUACAAUGGCCGGCACAACGGGAAGCGAGUUCGCGAGGACGAGCGGAUCCCUUAAAGCCGGUCGCAGUUCGGAUUGAAGUCUGCAACUCGACUUCAUGAAGCUGGAAUCGCUAGUAAUCGCAGAUCAGCCAAGCUGCGGUGAAUACGUUCCCGGGCCUU